UGCCAAAUGCGUGAUCAUAGGGAUCAUAAGUUUGCAGCGUUAAUUUGCCAAUGCCGUCCAAGUGUGAUGUCGACGAUGAAGCCAAUUUUUAGGCCCAUCAUUUCAACUAGCUCCGUAGAUCCUUAAGUUUGGAAGCUUGUGGUGUUCCAAUCAGAAUGUGGUCCUGCUAAGCCAAUGGAGAGCAUCCAACUGUAAGUAUAAGUUUGUGCCGAUUUAGCAUUCUCAUGCUGUUCGCUUUCUACUCAGCUUGAUAGGCAGAUACAGUAAGGAACAUUUGAAUACAUUGGAUGGGGAUCCAACGAUAUUAGACAUUUCAAGUAGGAAAUUGGGCUUUGAUGUCUUCAUGGAUCAGUAGUAUGGUGCAGAGUUAGGAAUGCCUUUUCUUUCUCGAAUGUGAAUAUUUGGAAGAAGACAGUGGUUCAGCUUCAUCAACGAGUAUUAACAUCCCACUAGCAUUUUUUUCUUCUAAUAUCCUCAUUUGCAUGCCACAUACUAUUCUCUAACGAUUGAUGUUUCAUUCAGUAUUACCUAGUUGCAUAUUCCACAAACGAAAUGGUGGAGGGUGCGUUUGGUUUGAGUCUUUGAGCCCAAGUUUGACAUAUCAAAAUUUUGUUUGCCCAUGGGUUGGCUUAUGCUGGCAAGAACAAAUGCACUAGAGGCAAAAGGAGCAUUGGCAUGUUUAAAGUUUGGCAUCCAUCCAAAGUUCCAAACAAAGACCAAUUUUUUGGGCAUGACUGAAAAAUUGGUAGGGUAUAUGUUGGCCACAAUUAAACAUACCCAAAUUGUCUGUAGACAAAACAUAAUAACCAUUGUGUGCUCUUAAAAGAGAAAUAAAAGUGCAUUCGUUUGCAUACUUCAGCUCUUGUCCUGGAAAUUUGCAUAUCAUUAGAGCGAUACUUUGUUGCUCAGGCUGUUCAACCUUUCCUGCCGUUUGUUUUUCAGGACGGCUGAGGAAUUUUGCAGGUCGCCGGAGGUGGACAUCUAUUUUAACUAGGAGAUCAAUCAUAGUGGCACUGUGGUUCUUUUAGGUUUAUAUUCAUACAUCGUUCUGGAUGAAGAUUGCCGGCUUUCCAUGUCACGAACUGGGAAUCUCGCCCAAGUGGGACCGGAAGUCGACACGAAACCCGCUCUGUCUUGGACGUACGAUGGCAAUAGCAAAAGAUAGCACUAUUACAAUUUUUGGGGGGCAUGUUUCUGUAACUAAAUAUAUGAUCGAAUUCUGCGCCAGUUCAUGAUCUGACUUGCUCAUACGCGCAUGAUACUACUUUCACUCAUAGCGUAGUGGAGUAGAAUGAGCAUGUGCGCUGUGUCGUGUCAUGUGGAACUGGCUGGUCUGCUGAAUGUAUGUUUGUUACAGUAAUUCUUUCGGAAUAAGAGGGCGGCCCUUGACUUGAUUCCCAACAGAUUAAUCUAAUGAUGGAAUGAGAGGGCGGCCCUUUGUUGGCACUAGAGUUUUUGAGGGGAUUAUUAGGGAUAAUACCCACAGGGAUUGGGUGAAACCCCUACUCCACCCAAUCCCAUCAAAUCCUCAUUUAUCCCCAAUCCACUAGGGAGGGGUAGUGUAUUGAGUAUUCAGAAAAAUACAUUAGAGUUAGGGGAAUUCUAGGGAAAAGUGGGGAUAAAAUCGGCCAAUACAUUAGAGUUUGGGGAAUUCUAGGGAAAAGUGGGGAUAAAAUCAGCCAAUUGCACUAGAACCAAACGGGCUUUUAUGGAUAGGAGGGGUUUGAGUUUUUUUUAACACAGUAGAGGCGCAAGCCCUCAUAAAUACGCGCAUACAAUCACCUCUAUAAACG
This 1793-nucleotide long non-coding RNA is filed under the name Triticum aestivum (bread wheat). RNAcentral's name for it is "long non-coding RNA (TAES_LNC005630)". Lineage: Eukaryota; Viridiplantae; Streptophyta; Magnoliopsida; Poales; Poaceae. The record is from RNAcentral.